RNAcentral lists this long non-coding RNA (2494 nucleotides) under Manihot esculenta (cassava). RNAcentral describes it as "long non-coding RNA (MESC_LNC006751)". Lineage: Eukaryota; Viridiplantae; Streptophyta; Magnoliopsida; Malpighiales; Euphorbiaceae. The record is from RNAcentral.
AUGCAUGUUAAGUCCAAAUUAGUAAUCACUUCCAAUAAAAUGAAAUUAUACACAUUUACAACCGUAACUAGAACCAUGAGCAUUCAAGUAGGAAGUCACAAAUGCGUUGUAACAUAUUAAAGGCAACACAAAAGAGAGGGGGNNGAAGACAACCUAACAUCACAUCAGAUAGAUCUGGUAGUCUUUCCUUUUGUUUUAUAGAGGUAACCCCAAAAUUUAAAAGGAGAAGCAGGAAUUAAGGGUUGGAAAAGCUCAACUAAAAAGCGCUACUAGCCCAAUGGAGGAUUCUCUACUUGUUAAGGCACUUAAACUACUAUGUUAACCGGAAAACAUCCUCUUACAUUUUUAUCCAACAAACACUCGUAUUCAUCUCCUUCAGAAAGUAAUUUACAUUAAAUAUGUCCCAAUUGAGUAGGCAUGUUAAAAAUUUGCACAUGAACUCUUCUCAAAUGAACUCCCCUACUAUUUCUAUUUGGUGCAUCAUUUUUUUUUAAUUUGCUCAACUACAGGCCACACCUAACUGGAAGGGAAUAUCAAAUGUGUCUGCUUUAAAAGCAUCCAACAUGUUAAUCCAAUAGACAACUCCACUUGCCUUGAUAAAAGUAUUUCCAACAACUAAUGAAUGGGAUGGCGGUUUUGAAUUUCCAUAUUGUCCUUCUUUGAUGCAUAAGCUUAACCAAACACUCGUAUACCCUUUGCACAUGAACUCUUCUCAAAUGAACUCCCCUAAUAUUUCUUUUCGGUGCAUCACUUUUUUUUAAAUUUGCUCAACUACAGGCCACACCUAACUGGAAGGGAAUAUCAAAUGUGUCUGCUUUAAAAGCAUCCAACAUGUUAAUCCAAUAGACAACUCCAGUUGCCUUGAUAAAAGUACUUCCAACAAGUAAUGAAUGGGAUGGUGGUUUUGAAUUUCCAUAUUGUCCUUAUUUGAUGCAUAAGCUUAACCAAAACUUACUCAUGUCUUAAAAGAGUCAUAAAUGUAUACAUGGAUGUUUAGCAGUUAACAUAGACACCUUUUUUUUGGUACUCUAACCACAGAAAUUAUCUUAAGGGUGGCAGAAUUGUCAAAGUUUGAACCCUUUAACCCCUGCAAUACAAGGCAAGCCCUCAACCACAGAGCUGCUAGCCUGUUAUGAGUAAGGCAUAGAGCAGUUUUAGAUUAGUUGAGUAGUAGAAUAGAAUUCUCUUCAGUCUGUUGUAACUGUAGAAAGCAGUUAUAAGACCCUAAGUAGUAUAAAACAGGAACUUAUUGUAAAGAGGAGAAAAAUUCUCUUUGUUACUUCUCUCCUUUCUAUUUCUUUUCUCAACCCACUCUACUUCUAUCUCUCUCUCACUAUUUCUCUGCUCCAUAGGGUAUUACACGUCUGAUAUGUACAUAACCCAAUAGCAAUAAUGGAUACUUUAGCAGAUGGCAACCUCAAUGACUCAACCAGUGUGUGUGUGUGUGUGUGUGUGUGUGUGUGUGUGUGAGUGUGAGAGAGAGAGAGGAUGCAUCAAUGCUCUUGGUCCAAUUGGCAUUUUCCUCCACUCACAUACUAUUAAUUUGCACCUAAGAACAUGUUCUAUAAUAAAACCUCAAAAGACUACCGUGGAUGUAGCACAAUCUCAUAUAAGCUUUAAACCAAUUUGUUAUUUUAUCGUAAUUUCCUACUUGAAAUCCAAUCACCAAACUAUUUGACGCAAAAAUAUUUCCUAAUGAUUAGUAAGAAGCUAUAUUAUUUCCGAAUACAUAUUACACUUGCUUACCCUUAAAGGAGUCGGCUAGAAUUUGAAUCAUUAAAGACCUCCCUCUCCUACACUAAGAUUAACCCCAUAACCAGAAUGAAAAGCAACUUUAGGCAUUUAAUAGCAUGCAGAUUUGCCUUAAGAAUCGCGCAACCAGAACCAUCAAGCAUCAUGCUCUCUCUCUCUAUCUUUCUCUCGCAUAUGUGAAUAUCCCUGACAACCAGAAAUGCUCGUCUUCCUCAUGCACCAACAUUUCAGCCUAAUGAUGUAAUCACACAAAUGGUGAAAUAUGAAACCCUAAAUGCUAGCAUGUUGGGUAUCCAUAACAUAGGACUCCGUCAGCAGCAAAAAAAUUUUGAACAUAUUAUUUCACAGCCUUUAAGUAAAGAUGCUAGAUUAUUUAUCAGGAUUUUUUUGAAAACUCUUGCUUUGAAGAUCAGUAGCCAAGUUAGAAGCAGAUGCUCUAUUAGAAUCCCUCAUUUGCCCUUAUGAGCCAGCUUUUGUCAACUAAAAACAUUGAUCCUACCCUGCUUUGAAGCAAUAUAUUUAAGCAUCACAUUUAUAUGUCAAAUAUAAAGGACAUCUCUACAUAGAACUAGAUGAUAAGUCACAAAACAUUGAUAACUACAAAUUUCACCAUAUUAAUUAAAUACAUCUCGACACAAAUGUAUUAAUUGUGCCAUUCACACCCAAAAACAUAAAUAAAAAUAUUGAUAGCAAAAAGGAUAAAUAAAAGAAAAGAAAAGCUAUAAGACAAUAAAUGUUAACA